GGCAAAAUACUUUAAGAUAAAAGGAUUGAUUUGCAUUCAAUAAAUGAAACUUCAUGUUUCUUUUGCCA
This 68-nucleotide transfer RNA is filed under the name Solemya velesiana. Its description in RNAcentral is "tRNA-Ala". It matches the Rfam family "tRNA". Rfam says of the family: Transfer RNA (tRNA) molecules are approximately 80 nucleotides in length. Their secondary structure includes four short double-helical elements and three loops (D, anti-codon, and T loops). Lineage: Eukaryota; Metazoa; Mollusca; Bivalvia; Solemyida; Solemyidae. The record is from RNAcentral.